RNAcentral lists this ribosomal RNA (523 nucleotides) under Cellulosimicrobium funkei. RNAcentral's name for it is "bacterial SSU rRNA". It matches the Rfam family "Bacterial small subunit ribosomal RNA", at positions 384 to 917 of the family's 1533-position model. Lineage: Bacteria; Bacillati; Actinomycetota; Actinomycetes; Micrococcales; Promicromonosporaceae. The record is from RNAcentral.
UGAUGCAGCGACGCCGCGUGAGGGAUGAAGGCCUUCGGGUUGUAAACCUCUUUCAGCAGGGAAGAAGCGCAAGUGACGGUACCUGCAGAAGAAGCGCCGGCUAACUACGUGCCAGCAGCCGCGGUAAUACGUAGGGCGCAAGCGUUGUCCGGAAUUAUUGGGCGUAAAGAGCUCGUAGGCGGUUUGUCGCGUCUGGUGUGAAAACUCGAGGCUCAACCUCGAGCUUGCAUCGGGUACGGGCAGACUAGAGUGCGGUAGGGGAGACUGGAAUUCCUGGUGUAGCGGUGGAAUGCGCAGAUAUCAGGAGGAACACCGAUGGCGAAGGCAGGUCUCUGGGCCGCAACUGACGCUGAGGAGCGAAAGCAUGGGGAGCGAACAGGAUUAGAUACCCUGGUAGUCCAUGCCGUAAACGUUGGGCACUAGGUGUGGGGCUCAUUCCACGAGUUCCGUGCCGCAGCAAACGCAUUAAGUGCCCCGCCUGGGGAGUACGGCCGCAAGGCUAAAACUCAAAGGAAUUGACGGG